Long non-coding RNA from Aquila chrysaetos chrysaetos, 6482 nucleotides. RefSeq lists it as uncharacterized. NCBI's taxonomy places the organism in Eukaryota, Metazoa, Chordata, Aves, Accipitriformes, Accipitridae. The record is from RefSeq and is a predicted model, not a curated record. The transcript has 4 exons.
CGAUCGUUCCCUCAGGCGGGCGCCGCUGUUCCCUCAGGCGGGCGUCCUACGGGACAGCAGGGAUGGCGGUGGCGGCGGGGGGUUGUUUCCCCUCGCUGGGUUAUUUCGAGGGCCACCGGGUGCGACGCUGUCCCGCGGGGGGUGUAGCGCCCUGCCCGACCCGCCCGCUCUGAGGCGGCGGCGGGAGGGGGAGGCCCCGGGGGAGAGCGGGUCGCCGCAGGCUCCCCCGCGGCGGUGACUCCGGCGCUGGCGGUUUAGUCCCCGCCGGGAGCGGGCGGGAGGGGCUGCAUCUGCGACCUGUGCCAUCCCUUCUCAGGCAUUGGGGGGAAGUCAGGGACGACACUUCCUUUCAGCCCAGUACACCAUUCAAGGCCAUUAAGGAAUCUCCAGUCUCAAGGACCCUGUGAGAGCUGGGAAGGAAUCUUUGGAGCCGGUGCAGACCAAAAUACGGCAACUGGGUUUCUUUGGAAGCAACAUGAGUAUUUCUCAGUGUGGAUCCUGCUGGUGGUGAUGCUGGUAGCAGCAGGCAGCAGCGGUCCACUUGAUUCCUGAUGAUAACCCCAGAGUGCCCAGGGAAGUACCGGUACAGAAUUCUCCGCUUCCCUCCAGCCCCCCAGGCCGAGAAGAAGGGAGUCUUCUGCAUUCACUGAAACAACAGGUCUGAGGAGACCUUUGCUUAUGAUGCCAGGGAAAAAAGAAUAAUCCUACCUUGUCAGGGUGGCCAGAGAUGAUAGUUCUAUCUAUCAGAUAAUUUGAGAGAGAUCAUUUGUAGCAGCCCACCCUGGUUUUGUUCAGUUUUCUCUUCUCGUAGUCCUGAUUAAAAGCUCCUGCGUGUGCGGUAAGGGGUUAAUGCAGUCCUCCACGCAAAUACCUGUAAGACACAAGGCUGCCACGCAGGCUCUGCUCAGGAGGACAGGAACAGAACUAGGAUAUUCUUCCCCCACCACACCACUUUUCAGAUGGCGGUGACAUCCCUGCCAGGAAAGCAUUCCUGGGCCAUCGGUGCCCUGCCCGUACCCGCUGACCUGAGCGAUCCCCUGUCACCGUUCCAGCGAUCGCUUUUGUUCGUUCCUCCAAGCAUUCCUUCUUGCCCACACUACCAAGUUUCACUAGCCCUGGAAAUCAUAUCCUUCCCAAAGCGCUGGACCCUCCCGCACAUUUCAUAGCAUAGCAACGUAACUCCAUUACCAUGGAUCCCAGACACAGGCGUGCAGAAUUUAUCUAACUAAUCGAGCGGCUAAGGGACACCAGUUCCAGCUACAGUCAGCUUGGAGUAUAAAGCAGCUACAGCUAAAAGAUGGUGUACAAGCACUUCCCAGGGAGGCAAAACAGUGAGGUGUAUUUUUCUUUAUUCUUUUUCUUUUUUUUUUUCUGUUUUAAUGGCCAAUGUAACGGGUAUAGUCUUGGUAAACAAAAGGACAGAAUUAUUCAUUCAUCCCUAAAUUGCUUCCCACUGAGGUAUCACACCUGCAUGUGGUAUUUGAGAGCUGGGAGCAUUUUCUUUAAAAUACUGCCACGCUGUAGAAGUUUAUUAUCCAGCUUUUACUCUAAAUGUGAUUAUUAUGCAUUGCCAUCUUUUGCCCAAAAUCAAAAUGCACUCUACAGGAAAGGUGCACUUGGUUGCUCUCUGCAAAGCAGCUGGCACGACUGGUGUCAAAUGGAAUAUAGACCAGUUGGUCUUUCUUUUGCCACUUAGCAGUUAAUGAAAACUUACCAAACCUCAACUAGUAGCUAAUUGGAAAUCUCUACAAAAGCCAUCUAUAAGCACAGAACAGGGUCUUCCAGAAUAAAACAAACCUGAUAAAGCCUCUUUCAUCCAGGGAAGAAACCUGUUCAUCUGUAUUCCCUGAUUUAAGCACCUUUGGCAAGGUGCUUGGGACUGUUUGCUGAGCAUGUUAUUCAAAAGAUACAGUUAAAAUGAAGUGAGAGGGUUUUUUUUUUAACUUUUAUGCACACAUUGAAGCCCUGAUAUAAGGCCUAUUUGUUACAGAAAACUUGAAUGGAUGCCACGGUGGGCAGAUCUGUCUUGCACCAACUUGCAGAAAAAUAGUGUCUUGUUUUAUAAAUAUUUCAAAUGGGAAGGAAGGACACUUAAAACAUGGCUUUGAAAAGCACAGAAGGAUAAUUCUUACCGAGCUGCGAUUAGAGAAGCAUUUCUCUUUAGGAAAAUUUUAGAACUGACUUGAGACCAACAUAUAACGAACCUUGAAUUACAAGCGUAACCCUUUUUUCAUAACAACAGUCUUCACUAAGCAGUGCGAUUUUGGUCAGCGAUGAGUUCUUUUGUUGUGGGAGAUGGCUUUCAAUUUCAUGAUGUUGCAAUCGGGAAGCCUCGAACAUUUUGGGAUCAGUUCUAAUAUUUUCCUGUUGGUAAGCCAUUUUUAAGGCAAUAUACAGUUUAUGGUUAUUUUCCAAACGUGGGUCCAAAAUAAAAAGUCUGAGAAAGCCCAUCCCAUAAUUCAGGCUGACACUAAGUGCACGCUUCUCCAGGUUUGGCAGAGUGUGUUGUGUACGCUGGUAGUGUGAUGAAUGUAACAUUUUCUCCGAGAUUCUCCUGCUCCUUCCCUCUUUUGAGGUAUUUCUAUUUUCUGUUAUUUCUGUUUUCCUAGGACCUUGACACUGUUAUAUGCAUUCAUGUUGGCUGGUUUAUGUGAGCUGUGAAUACACAGCUAACUGUGAUUUAUAUAACUGGGGUCUUGAAGGAAGAUGAAACUUAACAAUGCAAAGGAGACAAAAAAAAUCAGGCUUUUGACUAUUGUAUCCAUUCCAUUUACUUUCAAGGUAUUGUGGGGGGGUGGUGGUGGUUGUAUUUUAUUUUCCUUGACCAAUUCUUAUUUUUCUUCACGUCUUCAAUUUCAGGUCCUCUUGUCUUUUCCUACAGAAAAGGUUACAAUAUGUUUUUCUUGACAUUUCUACUUAGAUAUUCAGUAAGGCUCUCCUCAGCUGGCCGAGGGAAAAAAGCCAAAACUACUCAUUUGCCCUGACAAGUGUUUUCACUCUCUGUGUUCUUGAUGAUUGGUUGUGCUGGGUGCUUGACUUCUGCAGCAGCUAAUAAGUAACUCCUGAUUCCAGAGUAACUCCUGAUUCCAAAGGUUGACAGCUAUCACUUGAGCUCUCGUUUCCGAGCAAUCCAGCAGACCACUGCCACUAGCACCAAACUUUCCUGUAAUUCUGACAUCGUAGUGAAUUCCUCCCCAACUGGCAAUAAGAAGGUCUUACAUGGCUUUUUCUCUGCUUGAAUUCUCUGUUUUCUGGAUUGUGAAAUUAUCCUCUGCAUAAUUCAAGAACCGUUUCACGAUCUAUGUUUAGCAGAAUUUGUUACCCAACAGAUGUCUGGACAGUUAAUGACCUCUGUAAGUACAGCCCUGUGAUUUCUUGCUACUGAUGGUCCAAGAAUUUUUAAUCUCUUCUGCUACAAGUCAGCACUAGGGCAGCAUGUCACCUCUUAUUAAAAAACAGAAGCAUAAAAUGCAUAUAAAUUUUCCCUUCAGAAUUUUUAUGCGUCGUCAGAAGGCAUAAAGAAAAGAUUCUCUUUUGAAUCUUUAUGUUCACAAAUGUGUGCAUACAUAAAUGCACAUAGGUCCAUAUUUUUCUGGCCAAAACCAAAGGACAUGAAUAAACCCCCCUGAAAUUAAUCAAAAUAUAAUUUCAAAGAAAACGUACUUCCAUAAAUACAAGUCAGAACUGACACUGCCAGCCUUCAAGUUGAGGAAAGGGUAGAUGCCUAGAAAAGUCUAUAGUAGGAAAGCCUCUUCUACUGUCACUUUUACGUGUAUGGCAAACGUAGUCUUAGAAGAGGAUUUGGAGGCACUGGAUCCAGAUCAUUACCCCCAGCCAGUGAUGAGUUCACAGUAUGAAAUCAUCCUGCAGCUGCACAACCAUUCCCUCUUUCCUCCUCCCCAUUCAGAUCAGGCUUGAGCCCAUCCCUGCAUAGGAAAGUUGUCCUAGUUUCUCUUCUGUUUUUUUCUCUCUUUUCAGUUAUCGGCACUUGGGAGAGGAAAACUAUUGGGCAGGACUGUAUCAAAGAGGAGGUAAGAGAGUCCCUAACGUCUGGCACUCCUCUCGCAGAGGAGAGAGUCAAGGAAUUGAAUGCCGAUUGAUACAGGUCCGGUCAGAUGUCCCUGUGGAGGAAUUCUGCAAGCCACAUGCUGAAGUCCCUAGAACAUAAAUCUGCACAGUGAAGUGCUUGAGAGGAUGGCUUAUACUUCAUGGUGUGCCACUGUGAAGGAGAGAAAAUGGACUGCCUGCACACAAGUGCUCCUGUAACAGUCAGGCUCCCCGCACCUGCCUGGGACUCCCACCACGUAGCUCCUGAAUGCCAAGAAGUUUGCUAGAUAUCUUGUUAGUACCUGCUCCUACAGUGGAAGGGUCAUUGUGGCCAAACUGCUGGAUUGGAAGGUACUGAAACCACGGAGAAAGAUUAAUCAGCUGGAUCUACACUGGUAAGGUUCAUGGGCCAACAUUCCGGCACUGCUACGCAGAGCUCUUACAAUUGAAUUGUAAGCACGUUACCUGGCAGUUUUGGGAUGCGACUCUUAGCAGCCUCUCAGAUGAUACCUGGACAUGCUCGGAGGACAGCGUGGAGCAGGGACCAUUUCCUUGAAGGCAGUUUUAUAUCAUCACUCUUUGUGAGGGGAAGAAGAAAAUGUAGAUCUGUGAUGCAAGCUGGACACACUGUUUGGCCUCAGACCCCAAAGAACAAUCUCUGGUCUGUUUUAUGAGCUAAUAGAGCUGGACGCAUCCUGGAGCAGGUACCAGAACUUCUUGCUACAGUUUUGGCCUCAGGCUCUCUAGCUUUCGGGAAAGGUUUCUUUUUUAGUUUGGUUUUGUGGGGGUUUGGGGUUAUAUUGGGGUUUUUUUAGUGAGUUUAAGUAUGUGCAUACAUGCAUACCUACCUGUGUGGCUUUUCAGAUUGGAAAACCUACUUCCAAUGCUCAUUCAUUACAAUUUGAGGGGCUUUACAUGUUCUUAUUUACUACCUGUCCCUCUUCCAAUGUCUUCUCACUUGAACACUUUGGGACCACUAACAUGGCCAAUUCUUACAGUGUUUCUUCUUGUGGUUCAGUGAAAAAUAACUAUUGCCCUAGCUCCCUCAUAUUACUGGGAACUGAUCUGACACACCAGACAAGUUCUUUUGACUUCAAGAGCAUCACUUGGCCUCAUAGGGAGCCUUUUGAGCACCUUUAUUUUUUGACACUGAUACCUGAUUUAGAUACUCUGUGCGGAAAUUGUCCUGUGCUCACAUUAAGCAUACAAUACAGAGGCUAUUCUGGGGCCAGUUAGCCUGAACAUCAGGGUCUAAUCAAAACUACUGAGAAUGUCAGACUUUUUUUUUUUUUUUUUUUUUUUUCCCUAGUCAGUCCGAGAUGGGCUGAUUUGGGGGGGUUUCUUUGUUUUCCCAUUUGGAGUUUCCUCAACCACUUUCAGAGGUACAAGAUGUACAUUCACCAGUUCCUCAGUCUUCACAGAGGUAUUUCUACUAUCUUGUCAGAUUUUUUUACACAGGGAGGUCACCAAGUUACAGAUGAGGACAUGACCAAAUAAUUGGUUUUCCCCUCCAAACACGUGUGGCCUCCUGUUUCUAGAGCAUCUACUAUUUUACAAAUAAAGAGUAUUUCUCCCACUUUCAUGAAUUUUCUCACCUGGUGGCUGUUCUGGAAUGGGCUAGUGCUUCCACACCCACUCUUGUCCCAAAGGAUGUCUCCCCAAAGCAACUAAACCUGACUCAGAUAUGGUUCUCUCUUCAAAAUCAAAGGGCACUCUGUAGAUUCUGACUAUAGACAUAUGGGCCUACUGCUGUGCAAGAUGUUUGGAGCAAUCAGACAUUCUGGCUGUGAUCUAUCUAGAAUAAAAAUUAUGCUUAUCAGGAAUGGCCAUGAGGUAAUUGGGGAACCAAAUGCUCCACACCACCAUCUGUGAUUGUGCCCAUCUAAACUUGGCAUCACUGGGACAUAUAUAUGUGCUCACAGGCUGAGGAACCCCUUUCUGUGGUGAUGGCCAGAAAUGCUGACUUACCUGCUAAAGUGAAGGUAACUCAUAAUAUUUGCACAGAAUAAGACAUGAAAAAGUUUGAUUAGACAAUCUGGGAUUCUUUUUUAACUCCUUGAACAGUACCUAUGGUACUGAGUCGUAAGUCCCUGUAUACACUGAAACUUCUGCAAUUUUGCUCUCAAGCUGCUUCUCAGGACUUCUUUGCAGGAAUCAUUUUCCACAGAAAGGAUGAGUUCAGCCACCCUGCUUCAGGAACCACAAGCUUUUAAAGCAAUCUUUUGUCACAGGUUUGAGUUGACAAAAAUUGGCAGAUUUAAUGCAGGUCUACCUAUUUUUUUAAAGACUCAGAUACUUGUUUUGUACGAUAUGAAACUUUUCAUGUAAUUGCAGUAAGGGGUAAUCUACAAAAUGGCUUGACUUCAAGAAAACUGCCCAGCUCCAAAAACUUUCUGUUGAAAAAUGCAUAUUAAAAUGACGCUAGAGCUUUGUUA